This 616-nucleotide ribosomal RNA is filed under the name uncultured bacterium. RNAcentral describes it as "bacterial SSU rRNA". It matches the Rfam family "Bacterial small subunit ribosomal RNA", at positions 338 to 946 of the family's 1533-position model. The record is from RNAcentral.
CCUACGGGAGGCAGCAGUGGGGAAUAUUGGACAAUGGGGGCAACCCUGAUCCAGCCACGCCGCGUGUGUGAAGAAGGCCUCCGGGUUGUAAAGCACUUUAGGUUGGGGGGAAGGUUCGCUGGCUAAUAUCCAGCGGAAUUGACGUUACCGACAGAAUAAGCACCGGCUAACUCCGUGCCAGCAGCCGCGGUAAUACGGAGGGUGCAAGCGUUAAUCGGAAUUACUGGGCGUAAAGCGCGCGUAGGCGGCUCGGUCAGUCGGGUGUGAAAUCCCUGGGCUCAACCUGGGAACUGCAUUCGAUACUGCCGAGCUAGAGUGUGGGAGAGGGUAGUGGAAUUCCCGGUGUGGCGGUGAAAUGCGUAGAUAUCGGGAGGAACAUCAGUGGCGAAGGCGACUGCCUGGCCCAACACUGACGCUGAGGUGCGAAAGCGUGGGUAGCAAACAGGAUUAGAUACCCUGGUAGUCCACGCCGUAAACGAUGUCGACUAGCCGUUGGAGACCUUAGAGUCUUAGUGGCGAAGCUAACGCGAUAAGUCGACCGCCUGGGGAGUACGGCCGCAAGGUUAAAACUUAAAGGAAUUGACGGCUGAGAGNGCGAGACGACGACGAGGGAGAG